This 301-nucleotide unclassified non-coding RNA is filed under the name Rhizophagus sp. (in: glomeromycetes). RNAcentral's name for it is "partial contains 5.8S ribosomal RNA, internal transcribed spacer 2, and large subunit ribosomal RNA". The stretch from base 1 to 71 matches the Rfam family "5.8S ribosomal RNA", at positions 84 to 154 of the family's 154-position model. Lineage: Eukaryota; Fungi; Glomeromycota; Glomeromycetes; Glomerales; Glomeraceae. The record is from RNAcentral.
GUGAAUCAUCGAAUCUUUGAACGCAAAUUGCACUUCCUGGCACCCCGGGGAGUAUGCCUGUUUGAGGGUCAGUUUAAUAAAAAUCGGAGUGUUGUUCUUGUGACGACGCUUCGGAGUUUGGGUCAUCUUAACUUGUUCAGGUUAAGAGGCUUAAAAUUGAUCUUUUUUGCGCGCCUUUAGACGUACAUAAUUUUUUUUAUUCGUCUAUUCUGGUGCCCAAAUAUUUUAUUAGGUGCGAUCAUAUCGUGUGAUCUCGUGCCUAUAAUUAUCUCAUCUUUUGACCUCAAAUCAGGUAGGGACA